RNAcentral lists this ribosomal RNA (242 nucleotides) under uncultured bacterium. Its description in RNAcentral is "partial 16S ribosomal RNA". It matches the Rfam family "Bacterial small subunit ribosomal RNA", at positions 796 to 1041 of the family's 1533-position model. The record is from RNAcentral.
CACGCAGUAAACGAUGAUUACUAGGAGUUUGCGAUAGACAGUAAGCUCCCGAGCGAAAGCGUUAAGUAAUCCACCUGGGGAGUACGCCGGCAACGGUGAAACUCAAAGGAAUUGACGGGGGCCCGCACAAGCGGAGGAACAUGUGGUUUAAUUCGAUGAUACGCGAGGAACCUUACCCGGGAUUGAACGUAAGCGGAAUAACGUCAAAAGAAGUUAGCUAGCAAUAGCCACGUACGAGGUGC